Molecule: non-coding RNA, 107 nt
Organism: Capsicum annuum
Lineage: Eukaryota; Viridiplantae; Streptophyta; Magnoliopsida; Solanales; Solanaceae
Source: Rfam
UAAUGGUGAUAAAGACAAUUUCUGAUCAUGCCUCUAAAUCUCUCCCAAGCUUGUUAGAGAUUCUCUCUAUCUUUUUGUAUAAAACUCAAGAUCUCACUCCUCAAACA